AUUGAACGCUGGCGGCAGGCUUAACACAUGCAAGUCGAGCGGGGAAGGGUAGCUUGCUACCUAACCUAGCGGCGGACGGGUGAGUAAUGCUUAGGAAUCUGCCAUUUAGUGGGGGACAACAUUCCGAAAGGAAUGCUAAUACCGCAUACGUCCUACGGGAGAAAGCAGGGGAUCUUCGGACCUUGCGCUAAAUGAUGAGCCUAAGUCGGAUUAGCUAGUUGGUGGGGUAAAGGCCUACCAAGGCGACGAUCUGUAGCGGGUCUGAGAGGCUGAUCCGCCACACUGGGACUGAGACACGGCCCAGACUCCUACGGGAGGCAGCAGUGGGGAAUAUUGGACAAUGGGCGAAAGCCUGAUCCAGCCAUGCCGCGUGUGUGAAGAAGGCCUUUUGGUUGUAAAGCACUUUAAGCGAGGAGGAGGCUACUAGUACUAAUACUACUGGAUAGUGGACGUUACUCGCAGAAUAAGCACCGGCUAACUCUGUGCCAGCCGCCGCAGUAA
Molecule: ribosomal RNA, 501 nt
Filed under: uncultured bacterium
Lineage: Bacteria
Description: partial 16S ribosomal RNA
Rfam family: Bacterial small subunit ribosomal RNA
Source: RNAcentral